UGGCGCCCAGACAUUGAGCUGUGUAAGGGGCCCUAAAAAAAAGCUGCUUCCCGUUCUCCCAGAACAUUGAAUUUUGUGACCCCAGUUACAAACAGCCUCCAGAGAUCCUGUUCUACACCAGACCAGUGGAGCCAAACUGCAGCCAGAGCCCAUCACCAUCCUCAUCUGGUUGUAAGUAGGCAGUCUAGUAUAUUAUUAGUGACACUAAUCUCUAAUUUACCUCACAUUAAAAGGGACACUAG
Molecule: non-coding RNA, 242 nt
Organism: Pelobates cultripes (western spadefoot toad)
Lineage: Eukaryota; Metazoa; Chordata; Amphibia; Anura; Pelobatidae
Source: the annotation of a GenBank genome assembly